Molecule: ribosomal RNA, 440 nt
Filed under: uncultured bacterium
Lineage: Bacteria
Description: bacterial SSU rRNA
Rfam family: Bacterial small subunit ribosomal RNA
Source: RNAcentral
CCUACGGGUGGCAGCAGUGGGGAAUUUUCCGCAAUGGGCGAAAGCCUGACGGAGCGACGCCGCGUGCAGGAUGACGGCCUUCGGGUUGUAAACUGCUGUCAGGGGGAACGAUGAUGACGGUACCCCCAGAGGAAGCAUCGGCUAACUACGUGCCAGCAGCCGCGGUAAGACGUAGGAUGCGAGCGUUGUUCGGAUUUAUUGGGCGUAAAGCGUGCGUAGGCGGUUGUUUAAGUCUGGUGUGAAAGCUAGGGGCUCAACCCCUGUGUGGCACUGGAAACUGGGCAACUGGAGAGCGGUAGGGGAAAGUGGAAUUCCGAGUGUAGCGGUGAAAUGCGUAGAUAUUCGGAAGAACACCGGUGGCGAAGGCGACUUUCUGGGCCGUUUCUGACGCUGAGGCACGAAAGCUUGGGGAGCAAACAGGAUUAGAUACCCCGGUAGUC